UACAGAGGUGGCAAGCGUUGUUCGGAAUCAUUGGGCGUAAAGCGCACGUAGGCGGGUUUCUAAGUUGAUUGUGAAAUCCCAGGGCUCAACCUUGGAAUUGCAGUCAAAACUGGAGAUCUUGAAUACUUGAGAGGGUGGGAGAAUUCCUGGUGGAGAAGUGAAAUUCGUAGAGAUCAGGAGGAAUACCGGAGGCGAAGGCGCCUGCCUGGCAAGAUAUUGACGCUGAGGUGCGAAAGCGUGGGUAGCAAACAGG
RNAcentral lists this ribosomal RNA (253 nucleotides) under uncultured bacterium. RNAcentral's name for it is "partial 16S ribosomal RNA". It matches the Rfam family "Bacterial small subunit ribosomal RNA", at positions 524 to 776 of the family's 1533-position model. The record is from RNAcentral.